ACUGGCAGCGGAGAUUCGGUCAAAGCAGCUUUAACCUAGUGGCGGACGGGUGAGUAACGCGUGGGGAACCUGCCCUGUACUGGGGGAUAACAGUGAGAAAUCACUGCUAAUACCGCAUAAGCGCACAGCAUCGCAUGAUGCAGUGUGAAAAACUGAGGUGGUACAGGAUGGCUCCGCGUUGGAUUAGCCAGUUGCGGGUAACGGCCCACCAAAGCGACGAUCCAUAGCCGGCCUGAGAGGGUGAACGGCCACAUUGGGACUGAGACACGGCCCAGACUCCUACGGGAGGCAGCAGUGGGGAAUAUUGCACAAUGGGGGAAACCCUGAUGCCAGCGACGCCGCGUGAAGGAAGAAGUAUCUCGGUAUGUAAACUUCUAUCAGCAGGGAAGAUGAUGACGGUACCUGACUAAGAAGCCCCGGCUAACUACGUGCCAGCCGCGGC
Molecule: ribosomal RNA, 442 nt
Filed under: uncultured bacterium
Lineage: Bacteria
Description: bacterial SSU rRNA
Rfam family: Bacterial small subunit ribosomal RNA
Source: RNAcentral